This 497-nucleotide ribosomal RNA is filed under the name uncultured bacterium. RNAcentral's name for it is "partial 16S ribosomal RNA". It matches the Rfam family "Bacterial small subunit ribosomal RNA", at positions 28 to 507 of the family's 1533-position model. The record is from RNAcentral.
GAUGAACGCUGGCGGCGUGCCUAAUACAUGCAAGUCGAGCGAACGGACGAGAAGCUUGCUUCUCUGAUGUUAGCGGCGGACGGGUGAGUAACACGUGGAUAACCUACCUAUAAGACUGGGAUAACUUCGGGAAACCGGAGCUAAUACCGGAUAAUAUUUUGAACCGCAUGGUUCAAAAGUGAAAGACGGUCUUGCUGUCACUUAUAGAUGGAUCCGCGCUGCAUUAGCUAGUUGGUAAGGUAACGGCUUACCAAGGCAACGAUGCAUAGCCGACCUGAGAGGGUGAUCGGCCACACUGGAACUGAGACACGGUCCAGACUCCUACGGGAGGCAGCAGUAGGGAAUCUUCCGCAAUGGGGGAAAGCCUGACGGAGCAACGCCGCGUGAGUGAUGAAGGUCUUCGGAUCGUAAAACGCUGUUAUUAGGGAAGAACAUAUGUGUAAGUAACUGUGCACAUCUUGACGGUACCUAAUCAGAAAGCCACGGCUAACUACGUG